Long non-coding RNA from Brassica rapa (field mustard), 2725 nucleotides. RefSeq lists it as uncharacterized. The record is from RefSeq and is a predicted model, not a curated record. Lineage: Eukaryota; Viridiplantae; Streptophyta; Magnoliopsida; Brassicales; Brassicaceae.
UAGGCAAUAUAUGCAAGCAGGUUUAUGUUUUGACUUGUGUAGACAUAUAACAUUAACACGGUACGUAUUUAUAAGUAUACGAUACGUACACAAACCACACAUGUGACACGGACCAACAUGUAUGAAGAAACGGUCCCAUUGAGAGAGAUCUCAUGACUUCAAAUCAAGAACUAGUCCAAUUCCAAAAUGGACACGUAAAUAUGUACAAAGCUUAAUCCCCAUCCCUCUAUAAUGGGUCUACACACAGCCUAGCUUUUUUUUGUAUUUUGUGCACUGUUUUUUUUUUCUAUACUUUUAGUUUACUUUGAUAUUUACUUUGAAAUUUUUUUUUAUAUUCUCACAUUUCGAUUAAUGAGUCUAGUCGCUUCCUUUGAUUCCGUCACGGCUAAUCAAAUCAACAUUAGUUAAACAGGCGAGAAAAAAACAUAUGGGUAUGAAUGGUGAACAGGGAACGGCGAGGAAUAAUGCAUUCCCUAACGUUCAUAAAAAAAAAUCACCAUUAACAAGGAAUAAUAAUUCUUUCUCAUUCCCUUUCAUUACUUUUUUUGUAGAGAAUUAAAGAACAAAAUGUAUUCCUUGUUAAAAUUGAUAAGGAACAACCAUUCCUUUUCAUUUCUGCUAUUUUAUUCCCGAACAUUCAUUUUUUAUUUGUUCCUCUUGUUUCCCGAAUAGUCACCAGUCAGACCCUUCCAUAUGUUUACAAAAGUGUCAUUUUAAUUGACACCCUCACACAAACUAAUAAAAUAUUAUUUUAGUUAGUAAUUAAAUUCAUAUGUUAAUUAAAAUAUUUCGACAAUCCAGAUUUGAAAUUAUAUAUUUUUAUUAUAUUUAAAAAAAAUAUUUUAUUAAAAUUUUAAAAUAUAUUUUUGUGUAACAAGAAACAAAAUUUUCAAAAUGACAACCUUUAGAGAACAGAUGGAGUAUAAAUUAUUAAUGAAGUUCAUGAAACCUGGUGCCUGCCUAUUCAAGAUGCUGUCUCACAUUCCUAAAUAUUUCAGUAAAAUCCAUUAUAGUAUAUGAUCCCAUGUAAAUUAUUGGUGAGGCUGCUAAAUGCGAGCAAGCAACAUUACAAUUAUGGUGUCACAUCAAACUUGGUUACAGAAACUAUGGGCAUAAUAGAUAUAAUUCUGUCUUAAUGGGCUUGAGUUGAAUCCCAAAUAAACCCAUUAAAUACCACAUGAAUAAAGUUAAAUAAUGGGCUUUCUCAUGAGGUCAUCUUCUCCGGCGAAAAGGAGGAAGGAGAAGAUGACGAAACACACAAGAAUGAACGGAGAGCUUCCCUCUGCGAUUUCGUUCUGCUCCGUUCUCAUUUUUUUUUCUUGUCUUCAGUCAUCUUUCUCCUUGUGUUCUUCUACUUUUCAUCGAAUCCAACAAAGAUACGUUUUCUUCUUUCCGACUUGACUUUUAGUAGCUGAGAAGAUCUCAUUUUAGCUUGUUGGGUUGUUUUUGUAAUGAAAGGACUUGGAGAAACUCAAACUGGGUUCCGUGUUGGUGGUGUGACCAAUAUUGCUAAGAAGAAGAAUGUGUUCAGAGAGACCUUAAAGCUGCUUUUAAAGAAGUGAGUGAGUGGUGUCUUGAAGAUAGCACCAACUGUGUCUGGGAGUAAGAAGACUAAGGAUCAUGUCUGUAGUAGAGGGUUUUCUCUUGUUGAUUUCAAAGGCAAGAUUGAUGCAAACAUGUAGAUUAGCAUUUGUCCAAUCUUUCUCCCUUAGGUUGUAUGUAAGCUAAGCCAAAGAUCUUUUGUUUUCAAAGGUUUUUGGAGCAGUUCACUGGGAAGUGGUUAUAAUUUGGUAAGGUUAUAAAGCAAAUAAAAAUAUCAGAACUAGAAGCAGUUUCUAAUGUUGAAGAAGAUAUACUUUUGUUGAUUCAUGGGAUGAUUCAGACAAAGAAGUAGAUGAGACACAAGUGGUAGACUCUCCCAGUGAACCGAGCCGUGAUUCUAAUCCAAUGUAAGGUCUCCGAAACAAGCUGUGAAGCGAAAUAGAGAUUUCAUUCCAGGCUGCAGUAGAAACACGCGUGGAUGGGAAGAGGAACAUGAUAGGUCUGAUGUGGAAGAAGUUGCUGAAGAGAAUCUUGAAUCUGUGAACAGUUCAGUGUCAUACUCAGAUGAAACAAAUAUUUGGUCCUUAUCCUUCAGUUGUUGGACAGUGGAAGAAGUUUGGAGACAAUGCUCGAGGUUCCAAGAAAACAAACACCCUUGUAUCAAGAAUGUGGAAGUUAAAUCUGAUGGAGUUAUUGGUAGGUCCUUGAAAAGACAGAGGACUGCUAUAGCUAUUAAGUUACAAAGGGAUAACACGUUUAACUUAGUUGCGGCCAUGUGUACGUCAAACCCGUCACGGACAAGCUUGAAGAGUUCAGGAAAGCCUCUAUUGCUUACGUUGUAAUGCCGUUAGACAAUAACACGUUUCAGGUCGCAGCACCGUCAGGAAAUGAUGUAUGGAUCGUUCAGAAUCAGAUGAGAGACUGCACCAUCUGCACGUGUGGGGAUUUUCCACUUAUGUAAGGCUCAACUGCUAAUGGUAUGGUUAUGUGUAGUAUCUUGUGACUUUCGGGAGUAGAGGGUUAUUGGUUUCUUUUUUUUAAAAGAGAUAGUUGCUGUAACAGAAACAGAAAGUGUGUUGAUGUUUUUUGUAUGUGCAAACCAAUCCGGUUCAUUUGUAAACCGUUCGGAAAACAAAUCUAAACAUGAUCGACAAACUGAAUACCACUAAGAAGCUAAUGGUUA